RNAcentral lists this microRNA precursor (80 nucleotides) under Sus scrofa (pig). RNAcentral's name for it is "microRNA ssc-mir-4339 precursor". The record is from miRBase by way of RNAcentral. Lineage: Eukaryota; Metazoa; Chordata; Mammalia; Artiodactyla; Suidae.
CUGUGCUCCGGCUCUGAGCUGCCCCUCCUCGUCCGUCCCCUCCAGCUGGAGAGGAGCCGCGACAGAGCCGGAGCAGUGGC